AAGGGGACUGGAGCCGGAUUACCCGACCUCCUUUGCAAUACUCAAUAAAUAACAACACCAGAAGAAAUAUCUCAUAUCACUUCAUGCCAGGUCUUGUUGUGGGGUUAAAAAAAGGCCUUGAACGCAGAUAUUGAAGUGUGAGAAACACCCUUCUUGAAACUGCAGUGUGGAAAUAAGCUCUUCGCCAAGGUCUUUCAGAUCGACUCUUCGAAGGGUUAGUGAGAACACGGUGGAAGCCUUUCUCCGCAAGCGAUGAACAGCUGAAUUUCCCGUGAAGCUAACAUGGAGCAAAUAGAAGAGCCACAAUGGAUCUACUCGUUUGCUGACAGUUCCAGAUUGCUGACCAUUGUUAUUUCAAUUUUCCUGAUCGUGUACGGCAGCUUCAGGUGUGUUUUUCUUUCGAUUUCCUUUGAUGAACGUGCAUGAGCUUUCUGAUGUGCGUGACCUGUUUUUGUCUCCAAAAGACACGCUCUAGGUUGUUUUACAGAAUGUGACCAGCUAAAUGAAACCGGAUCUAAAAUGUGUUAGAGAUUGCAUUCUAAGUUAAAACUAUCAUUGUUCCCCGAAAGGAGAACUGAUUUUCUGUUUUCAAUAUUUUAUUGAAUCAUAAUUGACAUUCGAUUCCAUCGUCGUUGGCAAUUUCAAUAUUUUUCUGCGAUUAGUCCUAUAGAGCCUUUUGCUUUUUGAUUUAUUUUCAUGCAACGAAAUAUGAGUUACAUAAUAAACCUGAAUUUUCGAUAUUAUCAGUUUUCAUCUACAAUCGCCAAUGUCAGUUUCGUGCAGUAUUGUCUUUAAUUUUAACAUUAGCAUCUAAUAUACAUGUAAAAUACAGCAUAACUGAUUGAACGAAAAAAUUCCCCUUUAAGCCUGAUGAAUUUUUUAUGACUUGUGAGCAAGGUAAGUUGUAAGCUCCUCCUGACAUGGAUCUCCAUCUAUCCAAGUACAAGUUUCUUUUUGUACUAGUAACAUAACAGAAUAUUAAAUAUUGUCCAACACUUAUCUCAGGUGGCAAACAAUUAUGUCCUCACACCAGCUCAGGAUGUUUCUUUGUAAAUUAUUUCUUUAUGAGGGGUGUUCAAAUAAUGGAAUCUCAGUAGUUUUCUUUAUAUUCAAUAUUCGUUGAGCACAAGUCAUUGCAGCAAAGCGAUAU
This is a long non-coding RNA of Orbicella faveolata, 1150 nucleotides long. The record is from RefSeq and is a predicted model, not a curated record. Lineage: Eukaryota; Metazoa; Cnidaria; Anthozoa; Scleractinia; Merulinidae.